This is a non-coding RNA of Vicia faba (fava bean), 249 nucleotides long. The record is from the annotation of a GenBank genome assembly. Lineage: Eukaryota; Viridiplantae; Streptophyta; Magnoliopsida; Fabales; Fabaceae.
AUGAUGAAGAAAGGGAAUUCUCAUAUGGCUAGGAGGUCUAAAAAAGCCAACACUUUAAGCCCAGCCAAAAAGUUUUCCAAGAGACCUUCUCCAGCCAAGACUCCAGCCAAAGAUAAAUCACCUUCAAAGAAACCUCAAGUCAAGACAGCUGUGAAACAUACUCUCCCAGAGCCUGCUAAGAAGGAGGCUAGGAAAAAGAAAGUGGAAGAUGUUGUGCGUUCCCAUAAGCGUAGAAGGCUUUGUACCUAG